GAAAAUCGGACCGCUACCGGCGCUAGGAUCCGGGUCGGCUUAAGGCCACCAAGACCCGUAGCAAGCCUAACAUUCAUCCUGAAAACCUGUUUAAUCCCACACAUGAUCAACAACAUACAUAAAAAUUUAAAACUUUUCUUUCACUCAUAAGCCAAACUCAACCUGCACAUGCACUGAACAUACUCAUAAUCAUAAUCAUGACCCCUCAGUGGGAUCUCAUCAAUGCCCCAAUGGGC
RNAcentral lists this long non-coding RNA (236 nucleotides) under Manihot esculenta (cassava). RNAcentral describes it as "long non-coding RNA (MESC_LNC001723)". The record is from RNAcentral. Lineage: Eukaryota; Viridiplantae; Streptophyta; Magnoliopsida; Malpighiales; Euphorbiaceae.